UACAGAGGUCCCAAGCGUUGUUCGGAUUUACUGGGCUUAAAGGGUGCGCAGGCGGUCGGUUAAGUCGGGUGUGAAAUCCCAAAGCUCAACUUUGGAACUGCGCCCGAAACUGAUCGGCUCGAGGGUUGGAGAGGAGACUGGAAUUCACGGUGUAGCGGUGAAAUGCGUAGAUAUCGUGAGGAACACCAAUGGCGAAGGCAGGUCUCUGGACAACACCUGACGCUCAUGCACGAAAGCCAGGGGAGCAAACGGG
This 253-nucleotide ribosomal RNA is filed under the name uncultured bacterium. RNAcentral describes it as "partial 16S ribosomal RNA". It matches the Rfam family "Bacterial small subunit ribosomal RNA", at positions 524 to 776 of the family's 1533-position model. The record is from RNAcentral.